CAGAAGGACUUGCCCUUCAAAAAUCCAUACGUAUCCUUAGGGAGCGUGCCUCUGACUUGUAAAGUGAACGAAAUAAUGAAAAUCCUCACCUAGAAUGAAAACAUUUGUUCAUAUUUCACCCCAAGUUUGUAGGCAGGAAGAAGAACCAAGAGGACUCAAUGCUAUCACCUACAUCUCUCUUACCUGAGAACUUCUCUGCAAGUGCAAUAAAUCUGCUUUCCUAUGAAUGCAGGAGAGCGCUUGAAAU
Molecule: long non-coding RNA, 247 nt
Organism: Cygnus olor (mute swan)
Lineage: Eukaryota; Metazoa; Chordata; Aves; Anseriformes; Anatidae
Exons: 2
Source: RefSeq, a predicted model, not a curated record